GAUGAACGCUGGCGGCGUGCUUAACACAUGCAAGUCGAACGAUGAAGCCCAGCUUGCUGGGUGGAUUAGUGGCGAACGGGUGAGUAACACGUGAGUAACCUGCCCUUGACUCUGGGAUAAGCCCGGGAAACUGGGUCUAAUACCGGAUAGGAGCGCCUGUCGCAUGACGGGUGUUGGAAAGAUUUUUCGGUCAUGGAUGGACUCGCGGCCUAUCAGCUUGUUGGUGAGGUAAUGGCUCACCAAGGCGACGACGGGUAGCCGGCCUGAGAGGGUGACCGGCCACACUGGGACUGAGACACGGCCCAGACUCCUACGGGAGGCAGCAGUGGGGAAUAUUGCACAAUGGGCGGAAGCCUGAUGCAGCGACGCCGCGUGAGGGAUGACGGCCUUCGGGUUGUAAACC
RNAcentral lists this ribosomal RNA (403 nucleotides) under Micrococcus sp. oral taxon F54. Its description in RNAcentral is "bacterial SSU rRNA". It matches the Rfam family "Bacterial small subunit ribosomal RNA", at positions 28 to 431 of the family's 1533-position model. The record is from RNAcentral. Lineage: Bacteria; Bacillati; Actinomycetota; Actinomycetes; Micrococcales; Micrococcaceae.